CCUACGGGAGGCUGCAGUGGGGAAUAUUGGACAAUGGGGGGAACCCUGAUCCAGCCAUGCCGCGUGUGUGAAGAAGGCCCUCGGGUUGUAAAGCACUUUCAGUGAGGAAGAACGCCUGGUGGUUAAUACCCAUCAGGAAAGACAUCACUCACAGAAGAAGCACCGGCUAACUCCGUGCCAGCAGCCGCGGUAAUACGGAGGGUGCGAGCGUUAAUCGGAAUUACUGGGCGUAAAGCGCGCGUAGGUGGCUUGAUAAGCCGGUUGUGAAAGCCCCGGGCUCAACCUGGGAACGGCAUCCGGAACUGUCAAGCUAGAGUGCAGGAGAGGAAGGUAGAAUUCCCGGUGUAGCGGUGAAAUGCGUAGAGAUCGGGAGGAAUACCAGUGGCGAAGGUGGCCUUCUGGACUGACACUGACACUGAGGUGCGAAAGCGUGGGUAGCAAACAGGAUUAGAUACCCGAGUAGUC
Molecule: ribosomal RNA, 465 nt
Filed under: Vreelandella stevensii
Lineage: Bacteria; Pseudomonadati; Pseudomonadota; Gammaproteobacteria; Oceanospirillales; Halomonadaceae
Description: partial 16S ribosomal RNA
Rfam family: Bacterial small subunit ribosomal RNA
Source: RNAcentral